RNAcentral lists this ribosomal RNA (1344 nucleotides) under uncultured bacterium. Its description in RNAcentral is "16S ribosomal RNA". It matches the Rfam family "Bacterial small subunit ribosomal RNA", at positions 28 to 1378 of the family's 1533-position model. The record is from RNAcentral.
GACGAACGCCGGCGGCGUGCUUAACACAUGCAAGUCGAACGGAAAGGCCCUGCUUUUGUGGGGUGCUCGAGUGGCGAACGAGUGAGUAACACGUGAGUAACCUGCCCUUGACUUUGGGAUAACUUCAGGAAACUGGGGCUAAUACCGGAUAGGAGCUCCUACUGCAUGGUGGGGGUUGGAAAGUUUCGGCGGUUGGGGAUGGACUCGCGGCUUAUCAGCUUGUUGGUGGGGUAGUGGCUUACCAAGGCUUUGACGGGUAGCCGGCCUGAGAGGGUGACCGGCCACAUUGGGACUGAGAUACGGCCCAGACUCCUACGGGGGGCAGCAGUGGGGAAUAUUGCACAAUGGGCGGAAGCCUGAUGCAGCAACGCCGCGUGCGGGAUGACGGCCUUCGGGUUGUAAACCGCUUUCGCCUGUGACGAAGCGUGAGUGACGGUAAUGGGUAAAGAAGCACCGGCUAACUACGUGCCAGCAGCCGCGGUGAUACGUAGGGUGCGAGCGUUGUCCGGAUUUAUUGGGCGUAAAGGGCUCGUAGGUGGUUGAUCGCGUCGGAAGUGUAAUCUUGGGGCUUAACCCUGAGCGUGCUUUCGAUACGGGUUGACUUGAGGAAGGUAGGGGAGAAUGGAAUUCCUGGUGGAGCGGUGGAAUGCGCAGAUAUCAGGAGGAACACCAGUGGCGAAGGCGGUUUCUCUGGGCCUUUCCUGACGCUGAGGAGCGAAAGCGUGGGGAGCGAACAGGCUUAGAUACCCUGGUAGUCCACGCUGUAAACGGUGGGUACUAGGUGUGGGGUCCAUUCCACGGGUUCCGUGCCGUAGCUAACGCUUUAAGUACCCCGCCUGGGGAGUACGGCCGCAAGGCUAAAACUCAAAGGAAUUGACGGGGCCCCGCACAAGCGGCGGAGCAUGCGGAUUAAUUCGACGCAACGCGUAGAACCUUACCUGGGUUUGACAUGGAUCGGGAGUGCUCAGAGAUGGGUGUGCCUCUUUUGGGGUCGGUUCACAGGUGGUGCAUGGCUGUCGUCAGCUCGUGUCGUGAGAUGUUGGGUUAAGUCCCGCAACGAGCGCAACCCUUGUUCACUGUUGCCAGCACGUUAUGGUGGGGACUCAGUGGAGACCGCCGGGGUCAACUCGGAGGAAGGUGGGGAUGACGUCAAGUCAUCAUGCCCCUUAUGUCCAGGGCUUCACGCAUGCUACAAUGGCUGGUACAGAGAGUGGCGAGCCUGUGAGGGUGAGCGAAUCUCGGAAAGCCGGUCUCAGUUCGGAUUGGGGUCUGCAACUCGACCUCAUGAAGUCGGAGUCGCUAGUAAUCGCAGAUCAGCAACGCUGCGGUGAAUACGUUCCCGGG